This 253-nucleotide ribosomal RNA is filed under the name uncultured bacterium. RNAcentral describes it as "partial 16S ribosomal RNA". It matches the Rfam family "Bacterial small subunit ribosomal RNA", at positions 524 to 776 of the family's 1533-position model. The record is from RNAcentral.
UACAGAGGGUGCAAGCGUUGUUCGGAAUUAUUGGGCGUAAAGGGCGCGUAGGCGGUGCGGUAAGUCCGCAGUGAAAUCUCUGGGCUCAACUCAGAGUCUGCUGUGGAAACUGCCGUGCUCGAGUGUGGGAGAGGUGAGUGGAAUUCCCGGUGUAGCGGUGAAAUGCGUAGAUAUCAGGAGGAACACCUGUGGCGAAAGCGGCUCACUGGACCAUAACUGACGCUGAUGCACGAAAGCUAGGGGAGCAAACAGG